Molecule: ribosomal RNA, 446 nt
Filed under: uncultured bacterium
Lineage: Bacteria
Description: bacterial SSU rRNA
Rfam family: Bacterial small subunit ribosomal RNA
Source: RNAcentral
AUUGAACGCUGGCGGCAGGCCUAACACAUGCAAGUCGAACGGUAACAGGAAGCAGCUUGCUGCUUCGCUGACGAGUGGCGGACGGGUGAGUAAUGUCUGGGAAACUGCCUGAUGGAGGGGGAUAACUACUGGAAACGGUAGCUAAUACCGCAUAACGUCGCAAGCCAAAGAGGGGGACCUUUCGGGGCCUCUUGCCAUCGGAUGUGCCCAGAUGGGAUUAGCUAGUAGGUGGGGUAACGGCUCACCUAGGCGACGAUCCCUAGCUGGUCUGAGAGGAUGACCAGCCACACUGGAACUGAGACACGGCCCAAACUCCUACGGGAGGCAGCAGUGGGGAAUAUUGGGCAAUGGGCGCAAGCCUGACCCAGCAACGCCGCGUCGAAGGAGAAGGCUUCGGGUGUAAACUCUUUGUCAGGGACGAGUAGAAGACGGUACCUGACGAUAAG